Molecule: transfer RNA, 73 nt
Filed under: Phytohabitans houttuyneae
Lineage: Bacteria; Bacillati; Actinomycetota; Actinomycetes; Micromonosporales; Micromonosporaceae
Description: tRNA-Arg
Rfam family: tRNA
About the family: Transfer RNA (tRNA) molecules are approximately 80 nucleotides in length.
Source: RNAcentral
CUCUCACUAGCUCAACGGAUAGAGCGCCCGCGUCCUAAGCGGCGGAUCCGGGUUCGACUCCUGGGUGGGAGAC